GCCAGUAGCAAUAGCACGUUCAAUGCACCAGUUCCUUAAGUAUCACUGAAGUUAAGCAACGUUGCACGUGGUUAGUAUCUGGAUAGGUGACCAUCUGGGCAAUCGUGUGCUGCUGGUU
This 118-nucleotide ribosomal RNA is filed under the name Diaphorina citri (Asian citrus psyllid). Lineage: Eukaryota; Metazoa; Arthropoda; Insecta; Hemiptera; Psyllidae. The record is from RNAcentral.